GACGAACGCUGGCGGCGUGCUUAACACAUGCAAGUCGAACGGAAAGGCCCUGCUUUUGUGGGGUGCUCGAGUGGCGAACGGGUGAGUAACACGCGAGUAACCUGCCCUUGACUUUGGGAUAACUUCAGGAAACUGGGGCUAAUACCGGAUAGGAGCUCCUGCUGCAUGGUGGGGGUUGGAAAGUUUCGGCGGUUGGGGAUGGACUCGCGGCUUAUCAGCUUGUUGGUGGGGUAGUGGCUUACCAAGGCUUUGACGGGUAGCCGGCCUGAGAGGGUGACCGGCCACAUUGGGACUGAGAUACGGCCCAGACUCCUACGGGAGGCAGCAGUGGGGAAUAUUGCACAAUGGGCGGAAGCCUGAUGCAGCAACGCCGCGUGCGGGAUGACGGCCUUCGGGUUGUAAACCGCUUUCGCCUGUGACGAAGCGUGAGUGACGGUAAUGGGUAAAGAAGCACCGGCUAACUACGUGCCAGCAGCCGCGGUGAUACGUAGGGUGCGAGCGUUGUCCGGAUUUAUUGGGCGUAAAGGGCUCGUAGGUGGUUGAUCGCGUCGGAAGUGUAAUCUUGGGGCUUAACCCUGAGCGUGCUUUCGAUACGGGUUGACUUGAGGAAGGUAGGGGAGAAUGGAAUUCCUGGUGGAGCGGUGGAAUGCGCAGAUAUCAGGAGGAACACCAGUGGCGAAGGCGGUUCUCUGGGCCUUUCCUGACGCUGAGGAGCGAAAGCGUGGGGAGCGAACAGGCUUAGAUACCCUGGUAGUCCACGCUGUAAACGGUGGGUACUAGGUGUGGGGUCCAUUCCACGGGUUCCGUGCCGUAGCUAACGCUUUAAGUACCCCGCCUGGGGAGUACGGCCGCAAGGCUAAAACUCAAAGGAAUUGACGGGGCCCCGCACAAGCGGCGGAGCAUGCGGAUUAAUUCGAUGCAACGCGUAGAACCUUACCUGGGUUUGACAUGGAUCGGGAGUGCUCAGAGAUGGGUGUGCCUCUUUUGGGGUCGGUUCACAGGUGGUGCAUGGCUGUCGUCAGCUCGUGUCGUGAGAUGUUGGGUUAAGUCCCGCAACGAGCGCAACCCUUGUUCACUGUUGCCAGCACGUUAUGGUGGGGACUCAGUGGAGACCGCCGGGGUCAACUCGGAGGAAGGUGGGGAUGACGUCAAGUCAUCAUGCCCCUUAUGUCCAGGGCUUCACGCAUGCUACAAUGGCUGGUACAGAGAGUGGCGAGCCUGUGAGGGUGAGCGAAUCUCGGAAAGCCGGUCUCAGUUCGGAUUGGGGUCUGCAACUCGACCUCAUGAAGUCGGAGUCGCUAGUAAUCGCAGAUCAGCAACGCUGCGGUGAAUACGUUCCCGGGGCU
This 1346-nucleotide ribosomal RNA is filed under the name uncultured bacterium. Its description in RNAcentral is "partial 16S ribosomal RNA". It matches the Rfam family "Bacterial small subunit ribosomal RNA", at positions 28 to 1381 of the family's 1533-position model. The record is from RNAcentral.